CCUACGGGUGGCUGCAGUGGGGAAUAUUGCACAAUGGGCGCAAGCCUGAUGCAGCCAUGCCGCGUGUGUGAAGAAGGCCUUCGGGUUGUAAAGCACUUUCAGCGGGGAGGAAGGCGGUGAGGUUAAUAACCUCAUCGAUUGACGUUACCCGCAGAAGAAGCACCGGCUAACUCCGUGCCAGCAGCCGCGGUAAUACGGAGGGUGCAAGCGUUAAUCGGAAUUACUGGGCGUAAAGCGCACGCAGGCGGUCUGUCAAGUCGGAUGUGAAAUCCCCGGGCUCAACCUGGGAACUGCAUUCGAAACUGGCAGGCGAGAGUCUUGUAGAGGGGGGUAGAAUUCCAGGUGUAGCGGUGAAAUGCGUAGAGAUCUGGAGGAAUACCGGUGGCGAAGGCGGCCCCCUGGACAAAGACUGACGCUCAGGUGCGAAAGCGUGGGGAGCAAACAGGAUUAGAUACCCCUGUAGUC
This 465-nucleotide ribosomal RNA is filed under the name uncultured Klebsiella sp. Its description in RNAcentral is "bacterial SSU rRNA". It matches the Rfam family "Bacterial small subunit ribosomal RNA", at positions 338 to 795 of the family's 1533-position model. Lineage: Bacteria; Pseudomonadati; Pseudomonadota; Gammaproteobacteria; Enterobacterales; Enterobacteriaceae. The record is from RNAcentral.